Long non-coding RNA from Sander lucioperca (pikeperch), 133 nucleotides. RefSeq lists it as uncharacterized. Lineage: Eukaryota; Metazoa; Chordata; Actinopteri; Perciformes; Percidae. The transcript is spliced from 3 exons. The record is from RefSeq and is a predicted model, not a curated record.
CGUGUCUUAACUGGCGGGGCGCUAUUGAGCCAAUUUACCAUAAUCAAGCCUGAGACCCAUGUGAUUCACUUCAGGCCUGGACUAACAUCAUGUAUGAAAGAUUUGGAGCAGAUCGAACCAUUUUUCAUUCGAG